AGUAUUUUGCUGUGUUUUUGUCUGCGUGGAUUUCUUUUUUAACUUCUCAUUCUGCAUUACAUUUAUGGAUUAAGGGCUGAGCUUUAAAAUGUUUUUCAUUAUGGUGCAGAGUUCUCAACUGGAUGCCAUGCUUGUAAAACUAGAACAGAAACCUCUAAAAGACAAGAUCAACAGUUUCAGGAGGUCAGUAUAGAAGGCGCAACAGAAAUGUCAAUCUGAGUGUUUAUAGGAUGUGUCUUCUAAUAUAAAUGUAUAAAGCAGGAGAGCAAAUGAAUGCAUUCAGCUUGAACAUACCUAAACUUCUUUGAAAUGGAAGGGUUUUCUUUUGUGGGUUUUUUUUCCACUUUGGCAUGCAAUUCAUGUUUAGGAAGAAUUUUGUUAGUUUUGGUUUUGUUUGUCUAUGGAGAAGAAAAAAAAAAAAAAAAAAAAAAAAAAAAAGCCAGAAGGGGAAGAGGAGUUGCUUAUCAUUUAUGGAUUUUUUAUUUUUAUUUUUUGGUGGUGGUUGGGGUUUGUUUUGUUUUCCUGGGAUCUCAAAAUUCCAUCAGGCAGUAGGAUGCUUUCCACUACCUGGAAAGGCAGAUGUUGCUGCAGCAGGGGCAAUUACACUGACUUGUAGCAUAAGAAGGGGUGAGGAAAAAAUCCUGUGACUCCUUUUGUUUCUGUAUAAAACAUCAGUCAAAUAUAGAGCUUUAAGUCCCUCAGAUAAUCAGACUGUUAGAAGCAAGAAUUUCGUUCUGUGGUGUCUGCUCUAUUCAGGGCUUGUUGAGAGAAGAGAUUAGAUAUGCAAGACAGUUAAGUUCAAUUAAGAAAGGAAGUGAAGCUAAUGCACAAAUUAAGAAAUUUCUCUUUGCAGAAUAAAAUGAGUUCAUUUGUCACAUCCUCUGUUAAAGAAUUCUGCCUACUUGGUUUCACCUGUAAAGCUGUCUGCAAACCUCACCAAAGGUGAUUUUUCCCGGGAUUUGUUGAUUGUUGGCUGCUCAACCAAAUGGCUUUGACCUGUGUGCUGCUGAAUCAGAAAGAAGAGGCAGUAGAGUCUUACAGCCUAUCAUGUUUCAUUGAAAGUGCUGACGAGAACCCAGAACUCUGAAGACAGCGGUUUUGUGCAAGAUAAGAAUGUUAGAAUGUUCCUUAAAGAAGCUGAUGGAGGAUAGAGCUCUGGCAGUGCAAGAUGACACCAUAAUAUAGUCUGAAAUUGUCUUUACAAUCCAGCUGUGAUGGAGUCAAUGGGUGAAGCUCAAGAGCAACAAGAACAGCUGAACAGGAAGGAGCAGUCGCUGAAAACCACCCAGAAAACUGCACUGCUUGCUUGGGCUGCCUGGUGGAAUGGAUUAAUGACUGGAGACAGCAUGUAUCUGUUUGUCCUCUCUCAGAUACUGCUUCUCUGCAUGAUGCUGUGGUACAGCACUUAUGGGACCAUCUCAGCAGCUCAGAAUGCCUUUGACAUGCUGUUUUACUUGCUUACCCCAUUUGAACAGUUUUUGUCAGAUCAAGGAGGGGAUCUAACUAGAAUUGGGAAUGUUGUGAUAUCGUAUAUCCUGCUGUCCUUAGUUUCUCUAGGACUGCUACUUGUUGGAUCUCUGUUUUGGCAUCUGCUCAGAGCUCGUCCAGACCCCCCCUUUCCGCUCCAGGAGGACAGACGCCAAUCUGUGAGCCGGCAGCCUUCGUUCACGUACUCAGAGUGGACAGAAGAUAAAAAUGAGGAUGACUUUCUAGACUUGGAUCCUGUACCAGAGACCCCAGUCUUUGACUGUGUAAUGGACAUUAAAGUGGAGACAGAUCCAGCUACUCUAACAGUUAAAUCCGUGGGCUUGCAAGAAAGGAGGGGUUCCAAUGUUUCACUCACGCUAGAUAUGUGUACCCCAGGCUGUUCUGAGCAAGGUUUUGGCUAUAUCAUGUCACCACGGGAACAGUCAGCGCAAGAAUAUCUCCAGACAGCGUCAAACAUUCUUACUGAAGAAGAACUGCACAAGAAAGCUCUGGAUUCAUUCAUACUCCAGGCAGAAUUCUUUGAAAUUCCAAUGAACUUUGUUGAUCCAAAGGAAUAUGAUAUUCCAGGCCUGGUGCGGAAGAAUCGCUACAAAACAAUUCUUCCAAAUCCUCACAGCAGAGUGUGCCUUACCUCAGCUGAUCAGGACGACCCCCUUAGCUCUUACAUCAAUGCUAACUACAUCAGGGGCUAUGGAGGAGAGGAGAAGGUAUAUAUUGCUACUCAGGGACCGAUAGUUAACACUGUCAGUGAUUUCUGGAGAAUGGUGUGGCAGGAGCGUUCUCCCAUCAUUGUCAUGAUUACCAAUAUAGAAGAGAUGAAUGAGAAAUGCACAGAAUAUUGGCCAGAGGAACAGAUCACCUAUGAAGGAAUAGAAAUCAUAGUUAACCAAGUCAUACAAGCAGAUGACUACCGUUUAAGGCUCAUCACCCUAAAGAAAGGAGAAGAAGUCAGAAACCUGAAACAUUACUGGUACACAUCUUGGCCAGACCAGAAGACACCAGAUCAAGCUCCUCCCCUGUUACAACUAGUACUGGAAGUGGAAGAGGCAAUGCAGAAUGCAGAAGAGAAGAAUGCUCCAGUGAUUGUUCACUGCAGUGCAGGCAUCGGGAGGACGGGCUGCUUUAUUGCAACUAGUGUCUGUUGUAAACAGCUGAAGAGUGAGGGCAUAGUUGACAUAUUGCGAACAACUUGCCAGUUACGGUUAGACAGCCCCAUUCUUUCCUGUCAUCCUCAUUACUGACCGUUUGGAUGCAAGAGAAGAAAGAGUGAGAACAGAACAGCGAAAGUGAGGGCAGUAAGCAGAAGAGGAUAAAACCCCUUUGGGGCAGGACCAGGCAAAAAUUGCAGCUUGUAACUACAAACUUUAUCAGGGUUGAAGCCUGUGCCCCUAGCUUUGGGGAAGGUUGCGUUUUGGGUUGCCUUCCUUCUGCCUCAAGAGCCUUCAGUGAGAACACAACUGUGUCAAAGUUUCAUUUUAUCUGCCUUGUCAAGAAACACUUUCUAAAACUAGGGAUACUCUAUUUCUAGAUGACUAGCACCUACAACUCAAAGACUAGAAUUGAGUAGUUUCUCUACUCCAACUCUUUACUCCAACUCUCUACUAGUCUUGGCACAGCAGUAGGUAGCAGACACCCUCCUGGAAAUGGGUCAUAUGCUUCCAGAAAUUUCUCCAGUUAGCAUAGAUGCAUAAUCUUUUCAAGUGAUGCAUACCAAGCUAGUUGUUGUCUUUAGGUGUAAAAUGUGUACUGAAUGGUUUGGGAGUUGAGAAUUGGUCUAAAUGAAGGGCAAAGGAGGGCUUAGUAAAAUUUAGAAGGGUAGACUAGUAUGUCCUAAUAUGUCUUUUGAUGCAUCUAGUUUUGACACCUUUCUUGAACGUUUAACAUCAGAGCAUCAAAGCAUCUUGUAGCACCACUAUGCAAGCAAGGUAGCCCAGUUUUUCCAUUAUGCAGAUGACACAGCUGGGACACAGGGAGAGCAAAUUACUGGCCCAAAGCCUCACAGAAAGACUGGAAAAAAAUAAGGAAUUGAUCAGCACUCCCUGUGGAAAGUCAGCACAGUACUUGCUGCAAAAUCCUUUAUGUGUAGGGGUUUUAACUGACCAGGCAAUUGCUUAUUUAUCUGUUGUGUUCCAGGGCUUCUUGUUGUAUCCUUACUUUCCUGUUUCUGGUAAAUAAAUUUUUCAAACAACAUCUCUCUGUUCAACUUGAUUAACACAUUUGUUCCCAACCAAAGAGGUUGUUUUUAGGAGGUCUGUGCUAUAUAGGAGCAUUUUAGCAUGGUGACAUGCUCCUUUGUGAUGCUUGUUUGCUGGAGAAAAUAUUUUUAAAUUUGUGGAAAAGCCUUGUCCACUGACAACACUCAAGGGGGCAUUCAGAGCUGAAAUGAUUAGUAAACCAAAUCCUAACGUAACAUGGAAAGGAGAGGGAGACUUUCCUAAGGAACAUGGAAAGUACCAGUAGAGGGACCAAGAGUGUUGUUCACAAUAUCACUAAGGAAUAUUGGACUUUCUAAUGUGACUCUGGAGGCUUGCCAGUGUGAUUCCCAUCUACAAGAAGAGUCUAAGGAAGAUCUGGGAAACUACAGACCCAUCAGCCUGACAUCAAUGCCAGGAAAGGCUAUGGAACAGAUCAUCUUGAGUGAGAUCACUGGUAUUUGCUGGACGAUGGGGAAUCAGGCCCAGCUAGCAUGGGUUCAUGAAAGGAAGAACCUGCUUGACCCGCCUGAUCUCCUUUUAUGUAUUGUAAGCACUUUGGCAAACUCCCAGCAGAUGGGCUGGCAGACAAGGUGUUGGGAAGGAUUUCUGUAAUCUGUUUUCACAGCAAUGACCAUCUGAUGGGGGAGCAUUGAGAUCUCUAUCUAUGUUCUCUGAUGCUAUGAAAACUUGUUUGGAACUGCAUGAAUCCCUCUUCCAAGAGAGGUCUAGAUAUCUUGAAUGUUGUAACAUGACAGUUGCUUAUUUACUUGGAAAAGAAGCAUGAAUUUUUUGUGAAGUGCUAUGUGCAGGGGACCUCCAGCUCUGAGGAAGAACGUAAAGAAGUUGGUGGUUGAGGAGAACGAAACAUUGGAGAUCAUCCCUAAGAAUCUGGAGAAUUUAGAGAAGGCCAGUGUGAACUUCUCUCAUUUCUCAGGAAAUUAAAAGAGGUGAAAGAAGAAGUGGAGGUUGAAGUUAGUGUCAUAGUACCUCAAGACCCUUGACAGAGUCCAAAAAAAAAAAAAAAAAAGUGCAUGCAUCCAAAAAGACAAUUGUGAUGGAAGACAGUUACACAUCCCAGAUGGAAUAAGUAUCUACAUUUUUUUGCAGCUGGACAAAACUGGAUAUUCAAAGAAAUGUGAAGAAAUUGUGUCAAAUCCUGACAAGGUUAACCUGUAACCUGAUAGAAACAAAACCACUGAAAAGGACCAAAAAACAUUGCUAGCUGCGAUGUUUGAAAUGGGCCUGCUAAGGAAAAUGCCAAACUUCAUGUGGAAGUUCAAUGGGCAAGUGUGGAAGCAGGACAAUAAGUAUGAGGUCAUUGCAUCUGAUGAUUGUAUUGGCCCACACUUAAGAUAUCCUGUCCUGUGGACUUCAGAACUCAGUGCUGAAACUGGAGAUACAGAGCGGAAAGCUCCAUUCUUCAUUGAUCACAGGUAAAUCAAUAGAUUCCAGUUCAAUUCAUCAGCAAACCUGAGAAUACCCGAAGGAAGAAUGGAAAAUCUUGUCUGGAGUAUGUGCUGAUUUUGGAAGAUGUCACUCUGAAAGAGAUGAGGAAUCGAUGGGUGAUUGAAAGAUUUCAAGUACACUAGGAAUCACGAAGGGAAGAGAGCAGAGCUUAUCAUAAUGUUGAUGAGCCAGUGACUCAGGAACUUGUAUAGGCAUUGCUGUGUGAGACAGUGAACCUAACGACUGCUACAGCAGCUCCAUUGUAACUGGGAAGUCUCUUGAACAGGUGUCUCAGCCUUAAGGACUGAAUGUCAGGAAAGAAGCUGUCACCAUCACCAGAAACUCCUCAGUCCGGAUUGGAGGUUCCCCAGAGCUAGGCUAUGUCACAGAAAGAAGGAAAAAGAAGGUACCUGAAGCAAAUGAUACAAUGCAUGUUCAGCCAUGCAGAGCCUGGAUUUCCCAGCACACCUUUAAUCACUUGUUGCAAAGUAUCCCAUCAGUGUCUAUCUUCAACUAUUUAACGACCAGUUUUCCUGAACAUGUGUGCUAUGACAAGAUCUAUGCGUUUAUGACCGAAUUCUGAAGCAGUGUGGCAAACUUCAUCCUGACUCAGUAUUUGACAUCUUGAAAAAAGAACAGUUCUAUCUUCACAUAUGCAAACAUAGACCUGCCAGUAAAGUAGUAUGUCACAGUUCUCCUUCUGUCACAGAGCCUGCAGAAGUCCUGACAGUCCUCCACCUGGUGGACUUUUCCAGCUCCAGCAUUUUCUCAGCCUGGCAGGAACCAAACAAGGAAGCUGUGCCAUCAGGAUACAUACUAGAGGAUAUAAGCAGAGAACACCAAGGAUGGACCCUUGACAGAAAGACAAUACUGAUCCCUGUCUUUAGUACCACUUAACACUGCAGGAGGUUUGCAGGACAGACGUAUCCUUCCAAGCUGCGAGUGAAGCCGGUGUGGGAAAAGCAAUGGAGUUACAGGUUUGACCUGACUGUGAGGCUGAAGAGCCACAUGGUGGUUUGUACUGGAACAGCACAGUGCAUUCAUACAUCUUUGUCCAUACAAACUAGCUUGCUCCUUAGAGAAAUUUUCAUUACUGUAAUGAUCUGCUGGGGGUGAGAAGUUUAGAGAUCUUUGCAUUGUAUUUUAUACAUUGCCUCUUCAGAGUGCUUUUUAAAACUAGCAACCAUAUUUUUUUUCAUCAGGAAGGAAUUAUAUACGGCAAGCUAUCAGGUUCCUCAAGCCAGAAGAAAUCAAGGAGAAAGUGCUUUAAUUAAACACACAAAGACUCUGGAAGGGAGGAGCUGAAGUGAAAUAAUUUUGCCCCAGAAAAGAACACAGGGAUGGUUCCAAACAGGAGAAAUCAAUACUUAAAUCUGCAAAAUAAUUCUUAAAUUUCCUCUGAUCAAUCACUAAUCUCAGCUGGCUUGAGAAAGUCCCAAGAAACUGUGAUACUAAAAUAGAAUUACAGCCAGGAUAAAGAAGAGAACUAGCAGACACAUUAUGAUAUCCUGAAAAAUGAUAUCAGUACUGCCACACAGUUCACACAGCCACAGAAAAGUCUACAGCAAUAAGUACAUCAUCACAGGCCUGCUCCCAGGAAGGAAAUACUUUUUCUGAGUCAUUGCCCACAAUAACACUAGGGACAUUGACCCUCUGGAUUCAAAGAAGCUGUGGUACAUCUCCAAAGACAAAGGCUCAUGCCUGGAGCUUGCUAUCACCAUGUGACUUCAAAACCCACCACAUCAAACCUCCAAGGAAAUGCUUUGACUCAAGGGUCUGUUGCAUAAGUACAGACAGAAAAAUGCAGCAUGAGCACUGGGCUACUCACAGCAAAGCCACAGCAGAGAUGGGAUAGAGAGCUAUACAGUCUGCAGGCUGGGCAUGCUCUUACCAUACACUCGUCUGGGACCAUUCAGAACAGCUAUAAGAUAAAUAUUGUGUUCAGAGUCCCUCCUGUGGCACUUCUGCAUUUCAGUGCAGAUGUGGACAACCUCAGAGAUGGUAGCACUCCGGCAGGAUCCCCACCUCUGUCCUGCCAGCCAUGAAGGAUUUCCACUACACCAUAACGAGCCUGAGACCUUCAGGAUGGACAACUAACUGCUUCCAAAGACAGAAACGAUUUGCAGCAUCCACAGUGCUGCAGGUCCCUGUAGCAGUCUCAGCUAAGACAGUGACUCCCUGCUUCUACCCAAGGGUGAUGAAGGCUGUUCCCAGCAGGGCACCUUGCAGGAGAAGGCACCAAGGCCUCAACUUGCUUGAUGCAGCCAAAGCAACGCCUUCUUCUCCAGUCCAGCAGUCUCCAUCUAAAGAUGCAAGUGUGAAGGACUGCGCCCAGCUGGUGAAGGCACAGCAGCUCCUGGCUUGUACCAGUGCAAGUCAUGCACGUAUGUGGCAGGGCACAUCUCCAGCUUCACGCACAUUAAAGGAAAGGUUGGAUCAGUCUGUAUGAGAAAGUGAGUGAAACUCUACCUAGGCUGUUUUGCAUCAUCCUUGGGUACAUUGGCUAAACAUUAGCAGUGGAAAUACUGAAUGUAGUACUCCAAUUUGGUGGAGAGGUGAAGGUAUGUUGUGUUCUUGAUUCUGCACCUUGUUCUGUAAUUAUAUACAAAAGAGAUUGGGUUUGUUAGUAUUGGAGUAUGUGGGGACUUGGUAAUCUGGGCAUGAGUUUCUUUAAGAGAAAAGAGGCUAAGAUUAAGAGGUGUAACAAGAAGCAGUUUAUUUUUUAGGUUGCUUUCAUUUGGCAGCUUAUUGUAUUUUUAUUUUCGCAUAUACGAUAUUACAGAUCUGUAAAAUCAGCCAAGAUCCCGGCUUUCAGGAAUGCCAUGGUCCUGGUGUAGACCUUCCAGUCAGGCUCUCAGCACUGUUUGGGAAAUAAAUCCAAAUAUUUCAGUUGCAAAGAAGAUGCUUUGGCUCCAAAGCAGUAUGAGAAAAUGUACAAUCUAUUUGAUCCACUUCAGAUGCCACAACCAUCUGCAACUGCAUGUGGCAAACACAUAUUUCUCAGAUUCACGGGCAUGUAUGAUUGCAAAGAGUGCUGAAUACUCGCAGUAGAAUAGAUAAACCUUCAGUAUGCUCUUUUUUUUCUCUCUCAGCAGCUCUCUGUGGAAAGAUCCCCACCUUGGAGACUCUGGAGGGUUCGAAAUCCCCGGUGAAGCGAUGCAGAGCCUUUCAAGGCAAGACAUUGUAUACAAAAGUUCCUGUCAAGCAGCCAGCACGAACAACAGCGGCUGGCACGAGGAAAGGGUCACAGAUGCUUGUUCGAACGUGCAAUUGUGCAACAUCGCCGCCUAUUGCAGGCUCCGGCUGCUGCUAUAAUAAAGGCACCAGCGCCAUCUGCCUUCUCAAACCCAACUCAACCAAGGAGGAAAGGUCCUCAUGGAGGCUAGAUGGGUCAGCGCCUUAAUUUCUAAACUUCACCUUUCUAAUAUCCAUCGUUGUUCUUAAUUCUUAUACCUUACGUGUUUCUUUGCUCCCUUUAGUAGAAAGAACAAACUGGUGAGCAGUGACAUGGGCUGGUGGGUGCUCUAUAUAUGCACGUAACAUGUAUUACAGGCAUUUUUUUAUUUCCUGUAUGCUUCUUUUUGUGGACUUUCUGACAUAUUUAAGCAACAAGAUACUUUUGGUAACUAAACUAUUAAAUAAGCUAAGCAACUAAAUUAAACAUAAUAGCUUUCUUUUUUCCUAUUCUUAUUUCAUCUACAGCUAAGAGAACACUGCAAAUACAGCUAUUCCUUCAGCUGUUUUACUCAGAAUCAUCAUCCUUUAGUUCUGGCAUAUCUGAUUUCAUUCUUUCUUUUCUCUCUAAGGUGGACUUUCAUCAGUAGUGUCCUUAUGUACUAGGUAGUCCACAGGACCCAGUUCUUCAUCCUUGUGAUGGAGUCCACCCACUGACUUUAAUGCUCACAUGCAGACUCAGAGCGCUGCAUGGCUGACUGCUGGGUGAGGCACAAUUUGUGUGCACUUGCAAUUGUCCUAAAACAAAUCAAGGCAGUUGUUUGGAAAUCUGUCUCAAAGACCAGUGAAGUUUGUUUCUUGGCAUCUUGUUUCUGUCCCCCAAAUGCAGGAAUUUAAAAGUAACAUUUUAGAUUGGCAAUAAUUUUAGAUCACACACACGAAUUCGUGUUCUCUGAAUUCCCUUGCGUUCCAUGUAAGGUAGCUGUGCCCUCCCAUGUCCAGCUGAGUCAUUAAACAAUGAACUGCUCCAGUUAAACCUCUUUCCACUAACACCUUUGAGUACCUAAAAGAUUGCAAAUAUAUGAGUGAGAUUACAUUGUCUAGAACAAAUCUUGUCAAAUGAGUUCAUUUCCCAUUGACUAGGUAGCAGUGUUUCUAGCAGAAAAGCAGGUGCAGAUAUCUUGUUUUUAGGAGGAUUUGCAGCACUGUCACAUGGGACUGGUGGUCUCACAAGCAAAUUGUAGAAAGUCUGGAAUGGGAGAGUGCAUGGUUGGGUGAACACAUUGUUAACUUGGCCAGACAUAUCGAGCAGAAUUCUACAGCAGUAUUCCCAUAGCACCAAUGGGUUAUUUUCAUUGGAUAAUUUGGAUAGUGUAAAAGAAAAAUUGCUUAGCAAACCCACUGCUGGGAGGAGCAGCAAGUGCUGUAGGAUACUGCUGUAGAACUUGGCAAAGUAUGGUCAGGGGGAAGAAAUAACUCAAAAGACAUGCUUUCACUCUUUGCUCUUGGCAGAAUUACCAACAUCCCAGAUGCAGGUUGUGGAAUUACUGGUCUGGUGGCAUCACAAUGUAAACACGCUUGGUGGUUAGCGUGGGUCACAAAGCAGACAGGAGUCAGCCACGUCACGCCAUAACAAAAACAACAAACAGCACCAGGGGGUAUAUAAAAAGGAAGAGCGUUUGACAGGCAGAUGAAGUCAUUCUCCUGUUAUGUUUGGGGCUGGUAAACAUCCCAUUGGUGUACUGUACUCUGCUUUGGCUAGAAUAGAGAAUUAGAGGUCUUGUGGGGAAACAUUGGUGGAAUAGGAGUGGUUUGUCCUAAGGAAGGGGGAGAUGUGGCAGGGCAUCCCUAACAUCUGCUGAAAAGGCUCGGUGGGCAUCAGAGAUCUGGGUUACAGGCUAGAAACAGCUUUCUCAUGGUGCGGUUAUGGAAACAGAGGGAAAGAUUACUAUGGGGUAUGACAGCCCUGUUUUGUUAGUUUUCAAGUGCAGAUUGGACACGUUUAUGUCAGAAAUUACCUCAACAUGACUGACCCUGCUUUUUGGGAAGGAAGGAGACACUUCCCAAAGCGAUUUUGCUGAUAUUCCUAUUUAGAGCCAAAGACACCUAAGUUAGAAGUCUAAAUUACACACUGUGGAUACCAGCUAAUUAUCAUCCUGAGACUCUUGCUUUCCAUUUCUGUUUAAUAUAUCAUUAGGAAAACAUCUUAGAAGUCAAUAAUUUAAAUCCAAAGUAGCUAUAAUGUAGGCUGGCACAAUGCAGUUUAAACUCUAUUCAUUCAAACCUGUGUUUUCCAAGUUCCAGGCUUCUUUUGAGCAUAUACUGCCAGUUCUGCUGACAUCUAAAUGGUUUAUGAUCUAGGGACCCAUCUGCUGGACAUUAGGAUGAUCCAGUUUAUCUAAUAAAGGCUUUACUAGUAUACCCACACAACUUAGUGCAGAAAGGGUGAUGGAUGAAAAGAGGAAAGGAUAACUUACACAUAUAUUACUCAUCCUGAGAAAGCUAAAACUUGGGCUUGGAAUAGUCUUUGAUGUUUGACCUCUGCAGAUAGACUGCAGUUAAGUCUCUUAAUCCUCUAAACACUUGAAGUUAAUAGGAUUAACCGUAUGCCCAAAGUGUGUGUGGCUGGUGUGCAAAACUGUUAUAGAGUGCAGCUGGUGAAAAAACUUGUGACAAAGACAUUUUCCAGUGGAAUCCUGUCUGAUGCAUACUAAGUAUUUUCU
RNA transcript from Centrocercus urophasianus (Greater sage-grouse), 11026 nucleotides. It is a transcript of the gene named protein tyrosine phosphatase non-receptor type 5, with no coding region annotated. NCBI's taxonomy places the organism in Eukaryota, Metazoa, Chordata, Aves, Galliformes, Phasianidae. The record is from RefSeq and is a predicted model, not a curated record. The transcript is spliced from 28 exons.